GCACUGAGAAUCUUCUUGCGCCAUCUACGACAAGACCGGUAAGAAGGGGAUUUCCCGUUGAUGUUGUUGUGUUGUUGUGUUGUUGUCAUCGGCCAUAUUCAUCGGGCGAUCAACUUGUGAAUUUCCAUUCGCAGCUUAUUAUAAUAUAGUGUACGUCGUGUCAGCUUGUCAGGAUCAGGUGAGAAUAACCUGGUAAAUGACAAAAUGGAUCUCGAUCCGUACUCUGUGGCUUUUGGUGAAUGCCUUAGUGAGUUGGGGUCAAAUUUCAUGCAAAAGUACUGGGCUCAUAUAA
Molecule: long non-coding RNA, 292 nt
Organism: Strongylocentrotus purpuratus (purple sea urchin)
Lineage: Eukaryota; Metazoa; Echinodermata; Echinoidea; Camarodonta; Strongylocentrotidae
Exons: 3
Source: RefSeq, a predicted model, not a curated record